RNAcentral lists this ribosomal RNA (253 nucleotides) under uncultured bacterium. RNAcentral's name for it is "partial 16S ribosomal RNA". It matches the Rfam family "Bacterial small subunit ribosomal RNA", at positions 524 to 776 of the family's 1533-position model. The record is from RNAcentral.
UACGGGGGGAGCAAGCGUUGUUCGGAUUUACUGGGCGUAAAGGGCGCGUAGGCGGCGCAACAAGUCACUUGUGAAAUCUCCGGGCUUAACCCGGAGCGGUCAAGUGAUACUGUCGUGCUAGAGUGCGGAAGGGGCUACUGGAAUUCUCGGUGUAGCGGUGAAAUGCGUAGAUAUCGAGAGGAACACUUGCGGCGAAGGCGGGUAGCUGGGCCGACACUGACGCUGAUGCGCGAAAGCCAGGGGAGCGAACGGG